RNAcentral lists this transfer RNA (90 nucleotides) under Rhodospirillaceae bacterium. RNAcentral's name for it is "tRNA-Ser". It matches the Rfam family "tRNA". From Rfam's summary of the family: Transfer RNA (tRNA) molecules are approximately 80 nucleotides in length. Their secondary structure includes four short double-helical elements and three loops (D, anti-codon, and T loops). Further hydrogen bonds mediate the characteristic L-shaped molecular structure. tRNAs have two regions of fundamental functional importance: the anti-codon, which is responsible for specific mRNA codon recognition, and the 3' end, to which the tRNAs corresponding amino acid is attached (by aminoacyl-tRNA synthetases). tRNAs cope with the degeneracy of the genetic code in two manners: having more than one tRNA (with a specific anti-codon) for a particular amino acid; and 'wobble' base-pairing, i.e. permitting non-standard base-pairing at the 3rd anti-codon position. The record is from RNAcentral. Lineage: Bacteria; Pseudomonadati; Pseudomonadota; Alphaproteobacteria; Rhodospirillales; Rhodospirillaceae.
GGAGAGGUGGCCGAGUGGCUUAAGGCGCACGCUUGGAAAGCGUGUAUACGAGUAAUCGUAUCGAGGGUUCGAAUCCCUCUCUCUCCGCCA